Molecule: unclassified non-coding RNA, 2622 nt
Filed under: Ixodes scapularis (black-legged tick)
Lineage: Eukaryota; Metazoa; Arthropoda; Arachnida; Ixodida; Ixodidae
Description: aTP-dependent zinc metalloprotease YME1L, transcript variant X1
Source: RNAcentral
AGCGGUUCAGCCUCGCAUCCAUCCACCCUGUUCAAUGCCGGCCUGCUGCCUGGUCGCGAGCGCGAGCUAAAAGCAGCGUGACAUGUCCAAAAUUAACUUAAUUCACCGUCAUUUAUGAGCUGCUUGUCCGAUAGAAACGUUCAGCGGGUGCUCGGAUAGCGUAAAAACGUAAAGCUGUUGCCAUGAUUUCUUUAAGUAACGUGUUAAGCCUACAAGGUCAGGUACUCCUUCCCCUGAGUCAUGUGGCUUCGAUUGUGGCUGGGGCUCGAAGUAGCACAACGAAGCCUGCCACCAAACACACUCGGCAACACUUGAAGAAUGCCAGCAACAGGAACAUACUCUGUCCUGACAGCUUCAGCAACGUGCUGUCAUGGCUUCCCAAGUCGUGCUUGCAGGAGUUGACCUGUCUUCCAACAAUUGAACUGGCUCUCAGAGACCUGGCACUGUCGGGCAGAGUGCACAGCCAAAAACGAGGGGCUGCCUGGUCCGUUUCAUACAAGUCUGCCGACAGCUUCUUUGAGAACAAGCAUGGUUUUUCCAAAGACCAGCUAAGGACUGGGGCCCCUCUUUUGUCCUGCUUGUUUCUGAGUGCUCAUUCCUCCAAUCUCUUCUCGCCACUGAUGAGGCCACUGCAAGUACAUCAGGUCCGGGGCUUCAAGACGAAGAGUCCCAGGACUAUGGAUUCCGCCUCUGCUCUUAGCUUGAAAGCUCCAGACCUCAACGAGAGAUUCCUGGCACUUCGCACAAGGAAGGACAAGGACAAGCAAAAAGUCUACACAGAAGUGGAGCAGAAUGAAAAACUCAAAUCGCUUUUGACAGAUGAGAAUCUCACCAGUGAAGAGCAGCAGAGGCUCAGAGUGGCAUUUGCCGAAGGCUACCUGGCAUCUGACCCCAAAACACGCCCCAACACAAAGCUGCGCAUUUUCAACAUCUUUCGAGACCUGCUGGGCAUCAUCCUGAUUCUGGCCAUCCUUUUCUCCUUCAUGGGUGAGCUUUCUGGGGGCCCCUUCAGGCGAGUGCUAAUAGGCACAACGAACGAGGUCCUGCCCGAAGACAUUGAAGUCACUUUCGACGACGUCAAGGGGGUGGACGAAGCUAAGCAGGAGCUUCAGGAGAUCGUGGAGUUCCUGAGGAAUCCAGAAAAGUUCUCUUCUCUUGGUGGCAAACUGCCCAAGGGAGUGCUUCUGGUGGGUCCCCCGGGGACGGGCAAGACCCUUCUGGCACGCGCAGUGGCUGGAGAGGCCAACGUGCCUUUCUUCCACGCGGCGGGCCCCGAGUUCGACGAGAUCUUGGUGGGCCAGGGAGCCAGGCGUGUCAGGGACCUUUUCAGUACGGCCAAGAUGCGGGCCCCCUGCGUGGUGUUCAUAGAUGAAAUCGACUCCGUCGGCGCAAAACGAACGAACUCGGUGCUGCACCCUUAUGCGAAUCAGACCAUCAAUCAGCUGCUCACAGAGAUGGACGGGUUCAGGCAGAAUGAAGGAGUGAUUGUACUUGGAGCGACUAACCGUCGAGAUGACCUUGACAAGGCGCUGCUGCGGCCGGGGCGCUUCGACGUGGAGGUCCAGGUGCCCGUGCCGGACCUGGUGGGGCGCAAGGAGAUCUUGCAGCUGUACCUGGGCAAGGUCAAGAUGGCCAAUGACGUCUCGGUGGACAUGCUGGCCCGGGGAACCACGGGCUUCACGGGCGCCGACCUCGAGAAUCUGGUGAACCAGGCCGCGCUGCGGGCCGCCAUCGAUGCCGCCGAAGCCGUCUCCAUGAGCUACCUCGAGAAUGCCAGGGACAAGGUUCUGAUGGGGCCGGAGCGCAAGUCCCGCAUCCCGGACGAAGAGGCCAACCUGAUCACGGCCUAUCACGAGGGGGGCCAUGCCCUGGUGGCACACUACUCCAAGGACGCACACCCCCUUCACAAGGUCACCAUCAUCCCCAGGGGACCCUCUCUUGGACAUACUGCCUACAUUCCCGAGAAGGAGCACUACCACGUCACCAAGUCGCAAAUGCUGGCAACGAUGGACACCCUGAUGGGAGGUCGGGCAGCGGAGGAGCUCAUCUUUGGCUCUGAAAAGAUCACUUCAGGUGCCUCGAGCGAUCUCCGGCAAGCCACGGCCCUCGCAACCAACAUGGUGAAAGAAUGGGGGAUGUCCGAGAAGGUUGGUGUAAGGACGUUCGAGGAAGAUCGCAAUUCGCUGAUCGUCGUCAACGAGCUGUCUCCGAAUACGUCGGAAAUCAUUGACACAGAAAUCAAGCGGAUACUUCAUGAAUCCUAUGAGCGUGCCAAAAGCAUUCUGAAGACUCAUCAAAAGGAGCACAAGCUGUUGGCUGAAGCACUGCUCAAGUAUGAGACUUUGGAUGCGGAGGAUGUGAAGCAGCUUCUCAGUGGGAAAGACCUAGCCCAACUUCGCAAAAGGGUGUUGAAGGAGUGAGAAAUCGUUGGUGGGAUCGCUUGAAGGGAGAGAAACGAGUGCGGAAUGCAAGCACCAGCCAUCACAAAAAGUGGGACAGAAAGAAGGAGGAGUUCGAUAUAAUUUUCCCUGUCAGCUUCGGCUGGAGCAGCGGAGAGCCCGGACCACCCUAGAGCCAAGAUUCGCAGAAUUAGUAAAUAAAAGUACGCAAGUGUGCAGAGAA